UGGAAGUAAAAGUCGUAACAAGGUCUCCGUUGGUGAACCAGCGGAGGGAUCAUUACCGAGUUUUACAACUCCCAAACCCAAUGUGAACGUUACCAAACUGUUGCCUCGGCGGGGUCACGCCCCGGGUGCGUCGCAGCCCCGGAACCAGGCGCCCGCCGGAGGAACCAACCAAACUCUUUCUGUAGUCCCCUCGCGGACGUAUUUCUUACAGCUCUGAGCAAAAAUUCAAAAUGAAUCAAAACUUUCAACAACGGAUCUCUUGGUUCUGGCAUCGAUGAAGAACGCAGCGAAAUGCGAUAAGUAAUGUGAAUUGCAGAAUUCAGUGAAUCAUCGAAUCUUUGAACGCACAUUGCGCCCGCCAGUAUUCUGGCGGGCAUGCCUGUCCGAGCGUCAUUUCAACCCUCGAACCCCUCCGGGGGAUCGGCGUUGGGGAUCGGGACCCCUCACACGGGUGCCGGCCCCGAAAUACAGUGGCGGUCUCGCCGCAGCCUCUCCUGCGCAGUAGUUUGCACAACUCGCACCGGGAGCGCGGCGCGUCCACGUCCGUAAAACACCCAACUUUCUGAAAUGUUGACCUCGGAUCAGGUAGGAAUACCCGCUGAACUUAAGCAUAUCAAUAAAGCGGAAG
RNAcentral lists this ribosomal RNA (628 nucleotides) under Trichoderma asperellum. Its description in RNAcentral is "eukaryotic LSU rRNA". The stretch from base 240 to 393 matches the Rfam family "5.8S ribosomal RNA". The record is from RNAcentral. Lineage: Eukaryota; Fungi; Ascomycota; Sordariomycetes; Hypocreales; Hypocreaceae.